AGGGAAAGAGGGAGGGAGGUUGAACACAUGCAAGUCGAACGGCAGCACAGUAAGAGCUUGCUCUUACGGGUGGCGAGUGGCGGACGGGUGAGGAAUACAUCGGAAUCUACUUUUUCGUGGGGGAUAACGUAGGGAAACUUACGCUAAUACCGCAUACGACCUACGGGUGAAAGCAGGGGAUCUUCGGACCUUGCGCGAUUGAAUGAGCCGAUGUCGGAUUAGCUAGUUGGCGGGGUAAAGGCCCACCAAGGCGACGAUCCGUAGCUGGUCUGAGAGGAUGAUCAGCCACACUGGAACUGAGACACGGUCCAGACUCCUACGGGAGGCAGCAGUGGGGAAUAUUGGACAAUGGGCGCAAGCCUGAUCCAGCCAUACCGCGUGGGUGAAGAAGGCCUUCGGGUUGUAAAGCCCUUUUGUUGGGAAAGAAAAGCAGCAGGUUAAUACCCCGCUGUUCUGACGGUACCCAAAGAAUAAGCACCGGCUAACUUCGUG
RNAcentral lists this ribosomal RNA (492 nucleotides) under uncultured bacterium. RNAcentral's name for it is "partial 16S ribosomal RNA". It matches the Rfam family "Bacterial small subunit ribosomal RNA", at positions 38 to 507 of the family's 1533-position model. The record is from RNAcentral.